Molecule: long non-coding RNA, 312 nt
Filed under: Fukomys damarensis (Damara mole-rat)
Lineage: Eukaryota; Metazoa; Chordata; Mammalia; Rodentia; Bathyergidae
Description: lncRNA (ENSFDAG00000027461.1)
Source: RNAcentral
GGGAAAGAUUGACUCACGAGAGAUUGGAGAGGUAGAUUCACACAGUGAUAGUGCAAGCAGCUUGCUUCUAAUUAAAUAUGCGACUGAGUCUCAAUGCAUUUGCUUUCAGCCGCAGAGAGAAGAAGCUGCCCAAGAAUGGAAAGGAAGAAAUAUAUCACAUCAUCUGUCUGUCCACAGGCUUUCCUUGGGGCUUAUGAAGAUUUCCUCGUGAUAGUGAUUCUUCUUUACUCUCUUGCAUUCAGAAUGAUGGCAUUGACAUCUUAAAAAUAGUAAGUAACGUGUGAUAUUUUCUCCAAUCAUUGUUGAUAGUUA